This 468-nucleotide ribosomal RNA is filed under the name uncultured bacterium. Its description in RNAcentral is "partial 16S ribosomal RNA". It matches the Rfam family "Bacterial small subunit ribosomal RNA", at positions 28 to 507 of the family's 1533-position model. The record is from RNAcentral.
GACGAACGCUGGCGGCGUGCUUAACACAUGCAAGUCGAACGGAAAGGCCCUGCGCUUGUUGGGUGCUCGUUUGGCGAACGGGUGUGUAACACGUGAGUAUCAUGCCCUUAUCUUUGGGAUAACUCCAGGAAACUGGGGCUCUUAUCGGGUAGGAGCUUCUGCUGCGCAGGGGGGGUUGGAAAGUUUCGGCGGUGGGGGAUGGUCUCGCGGCUUAUCCGCUUGUUGGUGGGGUAGUGGAUUACCAAGGCUUUGAAGGGUAGCAGGCCUGGGAGGGUGACCGGCCACAUUGGGACUGAGAGACGGCACAGACUCCUACGCGAGGCAGCAGUGGGGAAUAUUGCACAAUGGGCGGAAGCCUGAUGCAGCAGCGCCGCGUGCGGGAUGACGGCCUUCGGGUUGUAAACCGCUUUCGCCUGUGACGAAGCGUGAGUGACGGUAAUGGAUAAAGAAGCACCGGCUAACUACGUG